This 305-nucleotide long non-coding RNA is filed under the name Brassica rapa (field mustard). Its description in RNAcentral is "long non-coding RNA (BRAP_LNC002991)". The record is from RNAcentral. Lineage: Eukaryota; Viridiplantae; Streptophyta; Magnoliopsida; Brassicales; Brassicaceae.
GGGAAGAGAGUAGAAACUAGAAAAGAUGAGUGCAACUUUGAAACGAGACUGAUUGAAAAAGUCAUAAAGGUCAAUUCUGAGUUUUUAAAAUCAUUUUAUGUUCAUUGGUUCUUUGUCUAAUAACCUAUUUGGGUUGAGAAGAUUCUGCAGCAGAUAUUAAUUAAUUUGGUAAUUAUAAGUUAUAAUCAGCAGAAUCUAAAACUUUUGACUUCUUUCGAUUGCCAUAUCUCGGUCAUGUUCUUUAUUUAAUUCUUCCAGGUGGUUUAUUUUUCUUCUUCUGUCAUGGUAUGAUUUACCAUGACCUA